UCGACUCGUGUGGGAGAACCGGUAACACCCGGUGCCGAAGGCGCAACCGCCCCGGAAACGCUCAGGCCACAGGACCACGGGGGUCUU
RNAcentral lists this non-coding RNA (87 nucleotides) under Loktanella sp. 3ANDIMAR09. RNAcentral's name for it is "Glycine riboswitch aptamer". It matches the Rfam family "Glycine riboswitch aptamer". Rfam says of the family: This family represents the bacterial glycine riboswitch. Glycine riboswitches usually consist of two metabolite-binding aptamers domains with similar structures in tandem. Lineage: Bacteria; Pseudomonadati; Pseudomonadota; Alphaproteobacteria; Rhodobacterales; Roseobacteraceae. RNAcentral also lists the same sequence under 1 other name. The record is from Rfam by way of RNAcentral.